RNAcentral lists this ribosomal RNA (499 nucleotides) under uncultured bacterium. Its description in RNAcentral is "bacterial SSU rRNA". It matches the Rfam family "Bacterial small subunit ribosomal RNA", at positions 8 to 518 of the family's 1533-position model. The record is from RNAcentral.
AGAGUUUGAUCAUGGCUCAGGAUGAACGCUGGCGGCGUGCUUAACACAUGCAAGUCGAACGGAGAUACUUUAAGCUUGCUUAGUUGUAAUCUUAGUGCGGACGGGUGAGUAACGCGUGGGCAACCUGCCUUAUACCGGGGGACAACAGCUGGAAACGGCUGCUAAUACCGCAUAAGCGCACAGUAUCGCAUGAUACAGUGUGAAAAACUCCGGUGGUAUAAGAUGGACCCGCGUCUGAUUAGCUAGUUGGCGGUGCAACGGACCACCAAGGCGACGAUCAGUAGCCGGCCUGAGAGGGCAAACGGCCACAUUGGGACUGAGACACGGCCCAAACUCCUACGGGAGGCAGCAGUGGGGAAUAUUGCACAAUGGAGGAAACUCUGAUGCAGCCGACGCCGCGUGAGUGAAGAAGUAUUUCGGUAUGUAAAGCUCUAUCAGCAGGAAAGAAAAUGACGGUACCUGACUAAGAAGCCCCGGCUAACUACGUGCCAGCAGCUGC